UUGUAUUGCUUGACGAGGGAAGUGCCUCAUCUUCAUUCUUUUCUUUCUGGUGCACGAAGGGAAGGGCUAAACCUUUUUCUUGGUUAAAAGUGAUCUAUUUCCUUCAGAGUUCCUUCAGAGUGGGAGAUUUAACCUUUAAAGUUUCGGGCUAGAAGUAGUCAUCUUACUCGCCUCCGAUGCUCUAUAGAUCCUCGAUACAAACCGAGUCUUUAACUGAGACCAACCAAUUGCUAGAUUCAAAUGGAACCAGGGUCCAUCCAGACUAGAUAAUCAGCCUCUUCAUCUGAUUCUUGAAAGUUGGAUUCUUUUUUCGAUUGAGGGAAGAUAGCAAUCACUCCAGACUGUACCGCUUCAAGCAGCAUCUUAUAGCGAGCAGGUUACCGGCUUUCAUAAAGCAGCCCACGCCUUCUCGAAACUACUCUAGACGGUAAAG
RNAcentral lists this long non-coding RNA (433 nucleotides) under Durio zibethinus. RNAcentral's name for it is "long non-coding RNA (DZIB_LNC001037)". The record is from RNAcentral. Lineage: Eukaryota; Viridiplantae; Streptophyta; Magnoliopsida; Malvales; Malvaceae.